CCUACGGGGAGCUGCAGUGAGGAAUAUUGGUCAAUGGGCGGGAGCCUGAACCAGCCAAGUCGCGUGAGGGAAGACGGUCCUAUGGAUUGUAAACCUCUUUAGGCGGGGAGCAAUGCCGGGCACGCGUGCCCGGAGGGAGAGUACCCGCAGAAUAAGCAUCGGCUAACUCCGUGCCAGCAGCCGCGGUAAUACGGAGGAUGUGAGCGUUAUCCGGAUUUAUUGGGUUUAAAGGGUGCGUAGGCGGAUUUUUAAGUCAGCGGUAAAAUGUCCGGGCUCAACCCGGGCCGGCCGUUGAAACUGGGGAGCUUGAGUGGGCGAGAAGUAUGCGGAAUGCGUGGUGUAGCGGUGAAAUGCAUAGAUAUCACGCAGAACUCCGAUUGCGAAGGCAGCAUACCGGAGCCCGACUGACGCUGAGGCACGAAAGCGUGGGGAUCGAACAGGAUUAGAUACCCUUGUAGUC
This 460-nucleotide ribosomal RNA is filed under the name uncultured bacterium. RNAcentral's name for it is "partial 16S ribosomal RNA". It matches the Rfam family "Bacterial small subunit ribosomal RNA", at positions 338 to 795 of the family's 1533-position model. The record is from RNAcentral.